Molecule: ribosomal RNA, 429 nt
Filed under: Chloroflexota bacterium
Lineage: Bacteria; Bacillati; Chloroflexota
Description: Chloroflexi bacterium partial 16S ribosomal RNA
Rfam family: Bacterial small subunit ribosomal RNA
Source: RNAcentral
UGGGGAAUAUUGCACAAUGGGCGCAAGCCUGAUGCAGCCAUGCCGCGUGUAUGAAGAAGGCCUUCGGGUUGUAAAGCACUUUCAGCGGGGAGGAAGGGAGUAAAGUUAAUACCUUUGCUCAUUGACGUUACCCGCAGAAGAAGCACCGGCUAACUCCGUGCCAGCAGCCGCGGUAAUACGGAGGGUGCAAGCGUUAAUCGGAAUUACUUGGCGUAAAGCGCACGCAGGCGGUUUGUUAAGUCAGAUGUGAAAUCCCCGGGCUCAACCUGGGAACUGCAUCUGAUACUGGCAAGCUUGAGUCUCGUAGAGGGGGGUAGAAUUCCAGGUGUAGCGGUGAAAUGCGUAGAGAUCUGGAGGAAUACCGGUGGCGAAGGCGGCCCCCUGGACGAAGACUGACGCUCAGGUGCGAAAGCGUGGGGAGCAAACAGG